GUUUACUACAACUGGAACGUAGCAGUUUAUGUUUAAACAAAGUUUGUAAUUAAGUAAGUUGUAUUUGUAUUUUGUAUUAAUAAUAUUUGUAUUAUACAAUUGAUACUGUAUAAGUCCGUGUUGACGGCAAACUAUUCUCUCUUUCUCCGUUUACCAUUCUGAGUUAACUCUGGGAUUCCAGGUUAACAGUGCAGGAACCCUGACCAAUAAGUAUGCUCUGUGCUUGCAGUUCAAACUGAUCUGGCACAUCAGAAACCAUGAAC
Molecule: long non-coding RNA, 263 nt
Filed under: Manihot esculenta (cassava)
Lineage: Eukaryota; Viridiplantae; Streptophyta; Magnoliopsida; Malpighiales; Euphorbiaceae
Description: long non-coding RNA (MESC_LNC007221)
Source: RNAcentral